RNAcentral lists this transfer RNA (72 nucleotides) under Camelus bactrianus (Bactrian camel). It matches the Rfam family "tRNA". Rfam says of the family: Transfer RNA (tRNA) molecules are approximately 80 nucleotides in length. Their secondary structure includes four short double-helical elements and three loops (D, anti-codon, and T loops). Further hydrogen bonds mediate the characteristic L-shaped molecular structure. tRNAs have two regions of fundamental functional importance: the anti-codon, which is responsible for specific mRNA codon recognition, and the 3' end, to which the tRNAs corresponding amino acid is attached (by aminoacyl-tRNA synthetases). tRNAs cope with the degeneracy of the genetic code in two manners: having more than one tRNA (with a specific anti-codon) for a particular amino acid; and 'wobble' base-pairing, i.e. permitting non-standard base-pairing at the 3rd anti-codon position. The record is from Rfam by way of RNAcentral. Lineage: Eukaryota; Metazoa; Chordata; Mammalia; Artiodactyla; Camelidae. RNAcentral also lists the same sequence under 2 other names.
GAAGGUGUAGCUCGGUGGUAGAGCACAGGCUUAGCAUGCAUGAGGCCCUGGAUUCAAUACCCACUACUUCCA